CCUACGGGUGGCAGCAGUCGAGAAUCAUUCACAAUGGGGGAAACCCUGAUGGUGCGACGCCGCGUGGGGGAAUGAAGGUCUUCGGAUUGUAAACCUCUUUUGCCGGGGAGCAACGGGCGUCACGUGUGGCGCCACUGAGAGUACCCGGAGAAAAAGCAUCGGCUAACUCCGUGCCAGCAGCCGCGGUAAUACGGAGGAUGCGAGCGUUAUCCGGAUUUAUUGGGUUUAAAGGGUGCGUAGGCGGAUCGUUAAGUCAGUGGUCAAAUUGAGGGGCUCAACCCCUUCCCGCCAUUGAAACUGGCGCUCUUGAGUGGAAGAGAAGUAUGCGGAAUGCGUGGUGUAGCGGUGAAAUGCAUAGAUAUCACGCAGAACCCCGAUUGCGAAGGCAGCAUGCCGGCUUCCGACUGACGCUGAAGCACGAAAGCGUGGGGAUCGAACAGGAUUAGAUACCCCUGUAGUC
Molecule: ribosomal RNA, 460 nt
Filed under: uncultured bacterium
Lineage: Bacteria
Description: partial 16S ribosomal RNA
Rfam family: Bacterial small subunit ribosomal RNA
Source: RNAcentral